RNAcentral lists this transfer RNA (68 nucleotides) under Phrynosoma platyrhinos (Desert horned lizard). Its description in RNAcentral is "tRNA-OTHER". Lineage: Eukaryota; Metazoa; Chordata; Lepidosauria; Squamata; Phrynosomatidae. The record is from RNAcentral.
GGCGUGUAUGCUCUGGUUUGAGCACUGGACUAUGACUGGAGACCAGGGUUCAAAUCCCUGCUCGGCCA